UUGGAAAAGUAUAAACCUAAGGCAUCACCUUUACAGAAAAUAUCUUCCACGGAAACAUCUAAAGGCAAAAAUCCUUCAAAUUCAAAUUUAUCCAAUCAUUUCUUCUGCUUACUACCAUCCUAAAUCAUUUUUCUUUAGUAAGAUCUAUUAGUGGGAAGCUAUUAAGCUAUUAAUGUAUCAUAUUAAUUGUAUUCAGAUAUUAAGUGAGGAGGUAAAGUUGCAUUCACAGGCCUUGAACUUUUCCACAUCUCGAUUUUUACCCAUCAUCUCUGAAUAGUUCCCUAAGGCAGCCUUCAAAUGGUGAUGUUUCUUAUAAUCCAGAGUUCAGAAGUGGCUUCUCUUCAAUCUUUCUGUGGAAUUCUAAACCAUGUGAUAAAGGAGCUGGUGGUGAGAAAUAAGGGAAGGCAGAGAUGAAAAGGAAUGGGCAGAAGCUUUUGGAGAGGAAUAACCACUGAGAUUGCCAUGAAAGAUUCAUUCUGACAUUCUUUUCAUGUAUUUAAUGCAAUCAAAAAAGAAUCCACAGCUAACCACAGCCAGAUUUCCUUCUGCACCAGAGCCUGUGGAAGCGCCACAGUGGAAGCAGCAGAGACUGGAAGAGCAGGCAAGAAGCUGGGAGCUUUGCACUGAACCAGGAAGACACCACAGCUCUUAGGCAAAGACCCGGAAAGGUGUCAACAUGGCCACACUACUGCUCCCACCUUGUCCUUACUUUCCUCAUCUCACCCCCACAGGCCACAGAUCAGCCCUGGGGUUCAGAGGGAUCCUGACGGCUACUCCUCAAGAUCCUCUCUGUUGUGAUUCAUCCCCCCCGGGCCCUACAGUUUCUCCUUCCUGACUCUUACAUUUCUUUGGAUGGCAUCAUUAUUUACCUGUCUCCUCCCAUAGUUAGGUGCCAAGCACUGUGGAUUCUGCCCCUCAGUGUCCAGACACCCAUUU
This 936-nucleotide non-coding RNA is filed under the name Pan troglodytes (chimpanzee). The record is from RNAcentral. Lineage: Eukaryota; Metazoa; Chordata; Mammalia; Primates; Hominidae.